ACAGGGAUUGCCUUAGUAACGGCGAGUGAAGCGGCAACAGCUCAAAUUUGAAAUCUGGCUCUUUCAGAGUCCGAGUUGUAAUUUGCAGAGGGCGCUUUGGCUUUGGCAGCGGUCCAAGUUCCUUGGAACAGGACGUCACAGAGGGUGAGAAUCCCGUACGUGGUCGCUAGCUAUUGCCGUGUAAAGCCCCUUCGACGAGUCGAGUUGUUUGGGAAUGCAGCUCUAAAUGGGAGGUAAAUUUCUUCUAAAGCUAAAUAUUGGCCAGAGACCGAUAGCGCACAAGUAGAGUGAUCGAAAGAUGAAAAGCACUUUGGAAAGAGAGUCAAACAGCACGUGAAAUUGUUGAAAGGGAAGCGCUUGCAGCCAGACUUGCUUGCAGUUGCUCAUCCGGGCUUUUGCCCGGUGCACUCUUCUGCAGGCAGGCCAGCAUCAGUUUGGGCGGUGGGAUAAAGGUCUCUGACACGUUCCUUCCUUCGGGUUGGCCAUAUAGGGGAGACGUCAUACCACCAGCCUGGACUGAGGUCCGCGCAUCUGCUAGGAUGCUGGCGUAAUGGCUGUAAGCGGCCCGUCUUGAAACACGGACCAAGGAGUCUAACAUCUAUGCGAGUGUUUGGGUGUCAAGCCCGAGCGCGUAAUGAAAGUGAACGGAGGUGGGAACCCGCAAGGGCGCACCAUCGACCGAUCCUGAAGUUUACGGAAGGAUUUGAGUAAGAGCAUGGCUGUUGGGACCCGAAAGAUGGUGAACUAUGCUUGAAUAGGGUGAAGCCAGAGGAAACUCUGGUGGAGGCUCGCAGCGGUUCUGACGUGCAAAUCGAUCGUCAAAUUUGGGCAUAGGGGCGAAAGACUAAUCGAA
RNAcentral lists this ribosomal RNA (853 nucleotides) under Curvularia geniculata. RNAcentral describes it as "eukaryotic LSU rRNA". It matches the Rfam family "Eukaryotic large subunit ribosomal RNA", at positions 68 to 939 of the family's 3401-position model. The record is from RNAcentral. Lineage: Eukaryota; Fungi; Ascomycota; Dothideomycetes; Pleosporales; Pleosporaceae.